RNAcentral lists this transfer RNA (88 nucleotides) under Deltaproteobacteria bacterium. RNAcentral describes it as "tRNA-Ser". It matches the Rfam family "tRNA". From Rfam's summary of the family: Transfer RNA (tRNA) molecules are approximately 80 nucleotides in length. Their secondary structure includes four short double-helical elements and three loops (D, anti-codon, and T loops). RNAcentral also lists the same sequence under 2 other names. The record is from RNAcentral. Lineage: Bacteria; Pseudomonadati; Myxococcota; Myxococcia.
GGAGAGCUGGCCGAGUGGUCGAAGGCGCUUGACUCGAAAUCAAGUGUGGGGCAACCCACCCGGGGUUCGAAUCCCUGGCUCUCCGCCA